Molecule: long non-coding RNA, 4759 nt
Organism: Medicago truncatula (barrel medic)
Lineage: Eukaryota; Viridiplantae; Streptophyta; Magnoliopsida; Fabales; Fabaceae
Exons: 3
Source: RefSeq, a predicted model, not a curated record
AGUGAGAAAAUGCUCAAAGACCCAUUUACAUAGGCCCAAUACAAACUAUCCCAGAACCUGCAUUUGAUAAAUUACUCGCAACACACCUCCUCCGGGGGGUGGGGGCUCGAAGCAAACAGUGACUCUUUCAAACGUUCAGUAACAUCUCUCAUCAUGGCUCCCGUAAAACUCGCUCGGCGGUUACGAUUCUCUCAAAUCUGUAAUCUUUAAGCCACAUGUGUGCCAGACAACGACACUGCAACACCCACUCUCUAUAUAAAGGGGACUCUUAGCAGUCCCCAAGGUUAGAAUCUGCUUACUCUAUAAAUCCCCAUUCUGACUCAAAUCCUGACUUGAGCGUGUAUGCAUGUACACCUCCUGCCAUUCCAAUCAACAACUGAGACUUCAACCACCGUAUCAAAUUGCAUCGGUAGUCAUCUUUUGAUCGGGUACGAUUAGAAUGCAAUUCGCCCCUUAUUGUGUUUAUUUCUCUCGCAUUCAAAUGCUCCAUUAUUUUAUGAUAUUUUCUUCUGUUUUCAUAUCCUUCAAAUAUUUUGCAUCACCUGAAAUUAAAUAUUUUAUCCGACUAUAUAUAACAAUAAAAUGUUUAUUUUCUAAUGUUGGAAAAUUACCUAAUGGAUUAACUAGUGGAAUAACUUCUCUAAUAAGGUUUAGAAAUUUGGUUGUUACUACAUGCCUUUUCAUCAAUCUAAACAUGCAUCAUUACCAAUCAUGACUCUUCAUGGUCUUUUUGAGAUUUAUUGAUGAACUUGAAAUCCAAUAUAUAUUGUAGAUAUAACCAUGUUAUCAUGAAAUGUUAUGAAAUAAUGAAAAAUUUGGUAUAAAAAAAUAUGUAUUUUUUAUGAUUGAUAAGUUUUCAUGUAUUUUUUAUGAUUGAUAAGUUUUCUGGAGUGAGAAAAUGCUCAAAGACCCAUUUACAUAGGCCCAAUACAAACUAUCCCAGAACCUGCAUUUGAUAAAUUACUCGCAACACACCUCCUCCGGGGGGUGGGGGCUCGAAGCAAACAGUGACUCUUUCAAACGUUCAGUAACAUCUCUCAUCAUGGCUCCCGUAAAACUCGCUCGGCGGUUACGAUUCUCUCAAAUCUGUAAUCUUUAAGCCACAUGUGUGCCAGACAACGACACUGCAACACCCACUCUCUAUAUAAAGGGGACUCUUAGCAGUCCCCAAGGUUAGAAUCUGCUUACUCUAUAAAUCCCCAUUCUGACUCAAAUCCUGACUUGAGCGUGUAUGCAUGUACACCUCCUGCCAUUCCAAUCAACAACUGAGACUUCAACCACCGUAUCAAAUUGCAUCGGUAGUCAUCUUUUGAUCGGGUACGAUUAGAAUGCAAUUCGCCCCUUAUUGUGUUUAUUUCUCUCGCAUUCAAAUGCUCCAUUAUUUUAUGAUAUUUUCUUCUGUUUUCAUAUCCUUCAAAUAUUUUGCAUCACCUGAAAUUAAAUAUUUUAUCCGACUAUAUAUAACAAUAAAAUGUUUAUUUUCUAAUGUUGGAAAAUUACCUAAUGGAUUAACUAGUGGAAUAACUUCUCUAAUAAGGUUUAGAAAUUUGGUUGUUACUACAUGCCUUUUCAUCAAUCUAAACAUGCAUCAUUACCAAUCAUGACUCUUCAUGGUCUUUUUGAGAUUUAUUGAUGAACUUGAAAUCCAAUAUAUAUUGUAGAUAUAACCAUGUUAUCAUGAAAUGUUAUGAAAUAAUGAAAAAUUUGGUAUAAAAAAAUAUGUAUUUUUUAUGAUUGAUAAGUUUUCAUGUAUUUUUUAUGAUUGAUAAGUUUUCUGGAGUGAGAAAAUGCUCAAAGACCCAUUUACAUAGGCCCAAUACAAACUAUCCCAGAACCUGCAUUUGAUAAAUUACUCGCAACACACCUCCUCCGGGGGGUGGGGGCUCGAAGCAAACAGUGACUCUUUCAAACGUUCAGUAACAUCUCUCAUCAUGGCUCCCGUAAAACUCGCUCGGCGGUUACGAUUCCCUCAAAUCUGUAAUCUUUAAGCCACAUGUGUGCCAGACAACGACACUGCAACACCCACUCUCUAUAUAAAGGGGACUCUUAGCAGUCCCCAAGGUUAGAAUCUGCUUACUCUAUAAAUCCCCAUUCUGACUCAAAUCCUGACUUGAGCGUGUAUGCAUGUACACCUCCUGCCAUUCCAAUCAACAACUGAGACUUCAACCACCGUAUCAAAUUGCAUCGGUAGUCAUCUUUUGAUCGGGUACGAUUAGAAUGCAAUUCGCCCCUUAUUGUGUUUAUUUCUCUCGCAUUCAAAUGCUCCAUUAUUUUAUGAUAUUUUCUUCUGUUUUCAUAUCCUUCAAAUAUUUUGCAUCACCUGAAAUUAAAUAUUUUAUCCGACUAUAUAUAACAAUAAAAUGUUUAUUUUCUAAUGUUGGAAAAUUACCUAAUGGAUUAACUAGUGGAAUAACUUCUCUAAUAAGGUUUAGAAAUUUGGUUGUUACUACAUGCCUUUUCAUCAAUCUAAACAUGCAUCAUUACCAAUCAUGACUCUUCAUGGUCUUUUUGAGAUUUAUUGAUGAACUUGAAAUCCAAUAUAUAUUGUAGAUAUAACCAUGUUAUCAUGAAAUGUUAUGAAAUAAUGAAAAAUUUGGUAUAAAAAAAUAUGUAUUUUUUAUGAUUGAUAAGUUUUCAUGUAUUUUUUAUGAUUGAUAAGUUUUCUGGAGUGAGAAAAUGCUCAAAGACCCAUUUACAUAGGCCCAAUACAAACUAUCCCAGAACCUGCAUUUGAUAAAUUACUCGCAACACACCUCCUCCGGGGGGUGGGGGCUCGAAGCAAACAGUGACUCUUUCAAACGUUCAGUAACAUCUCUCAUCAUGGCUCCCGUAAAACUCGCUCGGCGGUUACGAUUCCCUCAAAUCUGUAAUCUUUAAGCCACAUGUGUGCCAGACAACGACACUGCAACACCCACUCUCUAUAUAAAGGGGACUCUUAGCAGUCCCCAAGGUUAGAAUCUGCUUACUCUAUAAAUCCCCAUUCUGACUCAAAUCCUGACUUGAGCGUGUAUGCAUGUACACCUCCUGCCAUUCCAAUCAACAACUGAGACUUCAACCACCGUAUCAAAUUGCAUCGGUAGUCAUCUUUUGAUCGGUUUUCUGGAGUGAGAAAAUGCUCAAAGACCCAUUUACAUAGGCUCAAUACAAACUAUCCCAGAACCUGCAUUUGAUAAAUUACUCGCAACACACCUCCUCCGGGGGUGGGGGCUCGAAGCAAACAGUGACUCUUUCAAACGUUCAGUAACAUCUCUCAUCAUGGCUCCCGUAAAACUCGCUCGGCGGUUACGAUUCCCUCAAAUCUGUAAUCUUUAAGCCACAUGUGUGCCAGACAACGACACUGCAACACCCACUCUCUAUAUAAAGGGGACUCUUAGCAGUCCCCAAGGUUAGAAUCUGCUUACUCUAUAAAUCCCCAUUCUGACUCAAAUCCUGACUUGAGCGUGUAUGCAUGUACACCUCCUGCCAUUCCAAUCAACAACUGAGACUUCAACCACCGUAUCAAAUUGCAUCGGUAGUCAUCUUUUGAUCGGGUACGAUUAGAAUGCAAUUCGCCCCUUAUUGUGUUUAUUUCUCUCGCAUUCAAAUGCUCCAUUAUUUUAUGAUAUUUUCUUCUGUUUUCAUAUCCUUCAAAUAUUUUGCAUCACCUGAAAUUAAAUAUUUUAUCCGACUAUAUAUAACAAUAAAAUGUUUAUUUUCUAAUGUUGGAAAAUUACCUAAUGGAUUAACUAGUGGAAUAACUUCUCUAAUAAGGUUUAGAAAUUUGGUUGUUACUACAUGCCUUUUCAUCAAUCUAAACAUGCAUCAUUACCAAUCAUGACUCUUCAUGGUCUUUUUGAGAUUUAUUGAUGAACUUGAAAUCCAAUAUAUAUUGUAGAUAUAACCAUGUUAUCAUGAAAUGUUAUGAAAUAAUGAAAAAUUUGGUAUAAAAAAAUAUGUAUUUUUUAUGAUUGAUAAGUUUUCAUGUAUUUUUUAUGAUUGAUAAGUUUUCUGGAGUGAGAAAAUGCUCAAAGACCCAUUUACAUAGGCUCAAUACAAACUAUCCCAGAACCUGCAUUUGAUAAAUUACUCGCAACACACCUCCUCCGGGGGGUGGGGGCUCGAAGCAAACAGUGACUCUUUUAAACGUUCAGUAACAUCUCUCAUUAUGGCUCCCGUAAAACUCGCUCGGCGGUUACGAUUCCCUCAAAUCUGUAAUCUUUAAGCCACAUGUGUGCCAGACAACGACACUGCAACACCCACUCUCUAUAUAAAGGGGACUCUUAGCAGUCCCCAAGGUUAGAAUCUGCUUACUCUAUAAAUCCCCAUUCUGACUCAAAUCCUGACUUGAGCGUGUAUGCAUGUACACCUCCUGCCAUUCCAAUCAACAAUUGAGACUUCAACCACCGUAUCAAAUUGCAUCGGUAGUCAUCUUUUGAUCGGCGGUUUAUUGGUGUUUUGAUAAUUCUGAUUGUCCACAACAUUUGUGCCAUGAACUUAUUAUACCAAGGUGUAAAAUCGGUGUUUGUGUAUGUCUUCCUUAACUCAAGAAUACACAAAUGCCUUGCUAUCUCAUGUGCUAUAAUUUAGUUUUAUUUUUGACACCGUUUGUUUUUCCUUUCUAAAGUUUAUGAAACUCUUAGUUAUGGCUUUGUACUAUAAUAUGAUGGUAAUUGAUUGAAAUAAGACUGCAAGUAAUAUUAUCUAGAUUAUAUUCUUCUCUCUUAAUUACCGUCUGUCAAAAUAUCUUUAAUGAUUAAGUUGAAAUAUUGUUUUUAUGUUA